UUAGAAUCCUACGAUAUUCACUACUUGCUUGUUAAUGUUAACACUAGUAUCAACAUGUAAAUGAUAAAGUCCAUCAAUCAAAAAGGCAUAUGCAACAAUUUUAUUUCCAAAAUAAAUUAUAUAUAAUUUUUUAUUGAAAUAAAAAUUAUAAUUAUCUUAUGCUAGCACAGAUACGAAAUCAAAUUUCUACAGACUAUAGGUAUAUAAUAAUAAUUUUUCAAAAGCAAACUAAAUUCCAACGAUAGUCACAGAGAAUAGGUUCCAACAGCCACAGCAACAACUCUUGCCCUAUUGCUGACUCGAAGAGUGAUUUCACCUUCUCUCAGCCCUCUAACUUCCUUUAGACCCUACAUAGAAGUGCACAAGGGAGCGCUCGAACCAGAAUCUAAAACUCAACUAAAAGAAGAGGAAACC
RNAcentral lists this long non-coding RNA (414 nucleotides) under Elaeis guineensis (African oil palm). Its description in RNAcentral is "long non-coding RNA (EGUI_LNC036670)". Lineage: Eukaryota; Viridiplantae; Streptophyta; Magnoliopsida; Arecales; Arecaceae. The record is from RNAcentral.